UCUUGGCCUAUUGUCAAACUUUGAAUCGGCGCGGGGCAGGGUGGUGUGUGAUAGAACCCCUUGCUGGCACCGCUGCGCCUAGUGGGCCAUUUUUGGUAAGCAGAACUGGCGAUGCGGGAUGAACCGAACGUGCCGCCAAGGUGCCCGAGUGCCCGCUCAUGAGAGACCAUAAAAGGCGUUGGUUCAUCCAGACAGCAGGGCGGUGGCCAUGAAAGUCGGCAUCCGCCAAGGAGUGUGUUAUGACUCACCUGCCGAAUGGACUAGCUCUGAAAAUGGAAGGCGCUGGAGCGGGGGACCGCAGCGGCACAAUCAAGAGGCGUCUUUGGAUUUAGGUAGGAGGGCGUGGUGGGGUUUGGGGCCCGAAGGCAGGUCGUGAGACGUGCUGGACCAGCCUGCAGUGCAGAUCUU
This 408-nucleotide ribosomal RNA is filed under the name uncultured eukaryote. Its description in RNAcentral is "eukaryotic LSU rRNA". It matches the Rfam family "Eukaryotic large subunit ribosomal RNA", at positions 1045 to 1452 of the family's 3401-position model. The record is from RNAcentral.